This 725-nucleotide long non-coding RNA is filed under the name Helianthus annuus (common sunflower). The record is from RNAcentral. Lineage: Eukaryota; Viridiplantae; Streptophyta; Magnoliopsida; Asterales; Asteraceae.
UUUUUUCCUCAUCUCUUAGACUUUCACUUUACAAACCCUAAAAAACAAACUUACAGCUCUCUCUCCUAUCGGCCACCACCAAGAUCCUCCAUCAGUUCCACAAGAUCACAAGAUGUUGACGUUGAUGCUCCUCCUGAAAUUCUCAUCAAUCAAAAACCCUCUCAAAUUUUGCACAAUUUUCUUCCGAUUUUAUCUAUCCAGCUGAUAUUUUGGCUUUGUCGUCAUUCCGAUUUAAGGUUAUCAAUCCUUUGAUGUUGUUUGAAGACAAUCAUGAUAAUCAGAUGGAGGUAAAUAGAGGAAUAUCAAAAAUUCUUUGUUUUUUCAUGACCAGUUACAAGAUUAGUCGGCCUCAAAUUGUAUAAUGUUUAUUACUUAUCCAUAUUACAUGUGUUGUAUGUAACCAAUUAGGGUUCUGAUUAUCAUCUUCUCAUUGUGGCUACAAUUAAGAUUGGGGUUUUUUAGUCUUUUGCAACAAUCGUUGCAACGAACUUCGAAGUUACUAACCUCAAUCAAAGGUUUUUUUAAUCCUCUGUUUUAUUACGUGAUUAAGUUUUUUUGAUUUCUUUGUUUGUGAAUAGGGUUGUAUUGUUAUUGUUAACAAAUUUAGCUAGAAGGUUGUAGAAUUCAAGAUCUCUUAAAAAGAAGCUUUUGAUUUUACAAGGAUUGCAAUUAAUUUAUAGUGUAGGACAAUCUGUUUUAUUUAUUAUUUAUUUCAUAUUUAUAUU